UACGGGUAUCCAUUAGGAUCGAUCUCAAACUUUUUCUUCUUGUAUGAGAUUCUUCUUCUCAAGAAGAAACUUGACCUUGAAGAUUUUGAUAAACUUCUUUGAUCUUAAUUGCGAGAUCAACUCCUUGAUCUGCAGCCUUCUUCUUCCUCUCCUCGAUCCUUGAUCUCUAAGUCACCAGAACUUCUUCUAGAUGUGUGGAAGA
This 202-nucleotide long non-coding RNA is filed under the name Elaeis guineensis (African oil palm). RNAcentral's name for it is "long non-coding RNA (EGUI_LNC082325)". The record is from RNAcentral. Lineage: Eukaryota; Viridiplantae; Streptophyta; Magnoliopsida; Arecales; Arecaceae.